GGCGCAAGCCUGAUGCAGCCAUGCCGCGUGUAUGAAGAAGGCCUUCGGGUUGUAAAGCACUUUCAGUCGGGGAGGAAGGGGGUGUAGUUAAUAGCGGCAUUAUUUGACGUUAGCGACAGAAGAAGCACCGGCUAACUCCGUGCCAGCAGCCGCGGUAAUACGGAGGGUGCGAGCGUUAAUCGGAAUUACUGGGCGUAAAGCGCAUGCAGGUGGUUUGUUAAGUCAGAUGUGAAAGCCCGGGGCUCAACCUCGGAAUAGCAUUUGAAACUGGCAGACUAGAGUACUGUAGAGGGGGGUAGAAUUUCAGGUGUAGCGGUGAAAUGCGUAGAGAUCUGAAGGAAUACCGGUGGCGAAGGCGGCCCCCUGGACAGAUACUGACACUCAGAUGCGAAAGCGUGGGGAGCAAACAGGAUUAGAUACCCUGGUAGUCCACGCCGUAAACGAUGUCUACUUGGAGGUUGUGGCCUUGAGCCGUGGCUUUCGGAGCUAACGCGUUAAGUAGACCGCCUGG
Molecule: ribosomal RNA, 511 nt
Filed under: Vibrio sp. QPM_3_100
Lineage: Bacteria; Pseudomonadati; Pseudomonadota; Gammaproteobacteria; Vibrionales; Vibrionaceae
Description: bacterial SSU rRNA
Rfam family: Bacterial small subunit ribosomal RNA
Source: RNAcentral